UACGGGGGGGGCAAGCGUUGUUCGGAAUUACUGGGCGUAAAGGGCCAGUAGGCGGCCAACUAAGUCGGAUGUGAAAUCCCCAGGCUUAACCUGGGAACUGCAUCCGAUACUGGAUGGCUUGAAUUCGGGAGAGGGAUGCAGAAUUCCAGGUGUAGCGGUGAAAUGCGCAGAUAUCAGGAGGAACACCGGGGGCGAAGGCGGUUCUCUGGGCAUUACCUGACGCUGAGGAGCGAAAGGGUGGGGAGCGAACAGG
RNAcentral lists this ribosomal RNA (253 nucleotides) under uncultured bacterium. RNAcentral describes it as "partial 16S ribosomal RNA". It matches the Rfam family "Bacterial small subunit ribosomal RNA", at positions 524 to 776 of the family's 1533-position model. The record is from RNAcentral.